Molecule: transfer RNA, 72 nt
Filed under: Sphaerobolus stellatus SS14
Lineage: Eukaryota; Fungi; Basidiomycota; Agaricomycetes; Geastrales; Sphaerobolaceae
Description: tRNA-Ala (AGC) (tRNA-Ala-AGC-17-1)
Rfam family: tRNA
About the family: Transfer RNA (tRNA) molecules are approximately 80 nucleotides in length. Their secondary structure includes four short double-helical elements and three loops (D, anti-codon, and T loops).
Source: RNAcentral
GGGCAUGUGGUUUAGUGGUAUAACAUUCGCUUAGCAUGCGAAAGGCCUGUCGUUCAGUCCGCUGCUUGUCUA